Molecule: long non-coding RNA, 203 nt
Filed under: Rattus norvegicus (Norway rat)
Lineage: Eukaryota; Metazoa; Chordata; Mammalia; Rodentia; Muridae
Description: long non-coding RNA NONRATT031471
Source: RNAcentral
UGGGGCUGAUAAUAAGGUUUAGAAGGAAAGACGGUGCUGAGCAGGGGACACAUGUGCCUGAGAGAUGGCAGGGCCUGCCAGAGAAAGGAAUCAUUAACCACCAUAAAGUUCAGAGAGGGAAGGUCGUGAAGAUCAACCUUUUUGCACCAGGGAAUAUCAUUGGCCUCUCUUUAGCAAGGAGAAAGAAGCUGAUCUCGGGUUGA